GAUGAACGCUGGCGGCGUGCUUAACACAUGCAAGUCGAACGGGAUCCACGUGGUGCUUGCACUUUUUGGUGUGAGUGGCGAAUGGGUGAGUAACACGUGAGUAACCCGUCCUUUUCUUUUGAAUAAACAUUCGUAAGGGUGUUUAAUAACUUAUGUUCUUGCUGCCUCGCAUGGGGUGGGUAGGUACGGCUUUUGCGGAAUUUGGGUGGGCUGGCGGUCUAGCUGCUUGUUGGGGGGGUGAUGGCUUACUAAGGCUUUGACCGGUAGGCGGCCGGAGCCGGUGGUCGGGGACAUUGGGACUGAGAGACGGCCCAGACUCGUGCGGGAGGCAGCAGUGGGGAAUAUUGCACAAUGGGCGAAAGCCGGAUGCAGCGACGCGGCGUGGGGGAUGAAGGGGUUCGGGUUGUAAACGUCUUUUGCUCUGUACAAGGCAUGCCAGUGCGUGUGUUGAGGGUAGGGGUAGAUUAGCACCGGCUAACUACGUG
Molecule: ribosomal RNA, 485 nt
Filed under: uncultured bacterium
Lineage: Bacteria
Description: partial 16S ribosomal RNA
Rfam family: Bacterial small subunit ribosomal RNA
Source: RNAcentral